Molecule: non-coding RNA, 720 nt
Organism: Heterocephalus glaber (naked mole-rat)
Lineage: Eukaryota; Metazoa; Chordata; Mammalia; Rodentia; Bathyergidae
Source: RefSeq, a predicted model, not a curated record
AGCGAGAGAGCCCCACCUGGUAGGAGUCCAGUCUCACCCUCAGGGCACUCACAGACUCUAGCAAAACACCAAGCAGAGAACCUGGCUCCGGGAGUGUCUGAUGUCUGGGUACAGGAGCAGAAAGAAGAAAAAGAAUAAAUAGAGGCUCCUUCCAGGAUGGAUAGAGCAGAUACUCCCCGACGGCGACAGCUCCCAGUGCGCAUGCUUGGUGGUGCCAAGCCGCCAUCUUGUACCUCCCACUUGGAAAGAGAAACAUUUUUGAAUAGAUUCUGUUAAUUUACUUUGAGAUCGUCAGUAAAUCCAGAAUAAAAAAAAGUACAGUGUAUGGAUCAAUAUUAACUUCCCCAGCAGGGUGGAAGAGCUUGAGCCCACCUACGUACUGAAAAUACAACUGACAUUGGUAACAGAACUGAGCGAGGCAUUGUGCAGAUUGUUUUAAGUGCAUUAUCUCAAUAAUCAACAUAACAACUCCAGAAAGUUACUGGAUCUUGCUGUGACUGAUACUACUACAGAAGAGGAGGAACAAAUGUUCUCAAUUUCCUUCUGUAUAAAGAGUUUGCACCACAAGACUUGUCCCUGCCAUUUGCCAUUCCUGUAUCACUAUCCUCCAAAGACUCCUGUGGAGCAAUGCAACCAUCCUAUGUUCAAAGUGACUUCUUUGGGUCAAGGUGAAGUUGGGCUGCUUGAUUGACAGUUCCUGUUGUAUUUUCUAAUUUUUAU